UGGACGAAAGUCUGACGGAGCAACGCCGCGUGAGUGAAGAAGGUUUUCGGAUCGUAAAGCUCUGUCUUCAGGGACGAAUGUGCUUAAUGUGAAUAAUGUUAAGUAAUGACGGUACCUGAGGAGGAAGCCACGGCUAACUACGUGCCAGCAGCCGCGGUAAUACGUAGGUGGCAAGCGUUGUCCGGAAUUAUUGGGCGUAAAGCGCGCGCAGGCGGGAAUGUAAGUCUGUCUUAAAAGUUCGGGGCUCAACCCCGUGAUGGGAUGGAAACUACAUUUCUUGAGUGCAGGAGAGGAAAGUGGAAUUCCUAGUGUAGCGGUGAAAUGCGUAGAUAUUAGGAGGAACACCAGUGGCGAAGGCGACUUUCUGGACUGUGUCUGACGCUGAGGCGCGAAAGCCAGGGGAGUGAACGGGAUUAGAUACCCCGGUAAUCCUGGCCGUAAACGAUGGGUACUAGGUGUAGGAGGUAUCGACCCCUUCUGUGCCGGAGUUAACGCAAUAAGUACCCCGCCUGGGGAGUA
Molecule: ribosomal RNA, 519 nt
Filed under: uncultured bacterium
Lineage: Bacteria
Description: bacterial SSU rRNA
Rfam family: Bacterial small subunit ribosomal RNA
Source: RNAcentral